RNAcentral lists this unclassified non-coding RNA (223 nucleotides) under Glomeraceae sp. RNAcentral's name for it is "partial contains 5.8S ribosomal RNA and internal transcribed spacer 2". The stretch from base 1 to 71 matches the Rfam family "5.8S ribosomal RNA", at positions 84 to 154 of the family's 154-position model. The record is from RNAcentral. Lineage: Eukaryota; Fungi; Glomeromycota; Glomeromycetes; Glomerales; Glomeraceae.
GUGAAUCAUCGAAUUUUUGAACGCAAAUUGCACUCUCUGGGAUGCCGGAGAGUAUGUCUGGUUGAGGGUCUGAUUAAAUAAAAAUCGGUGUGGUUGCUGCCUGUCGUGGUGACGCACCGGAUCUGGGUCGUUUUGCCUUCGGUUAAGUGACUUAAAAUUUUUUAUUAUUUUUUUCGAACGUUCUUAAAUGUAUUUAUGUACGUUUUCGAGAUCUAGUUCUAUG